Molecule: long non-coding RNA, 408 nt
Organism: Hippocampus comes (tiger tail seahorse)
Lineage: Eukaryota; Metazoa; Chordata; Actinopteri; Syngnathiformes; Syngnathidae
Exons: 2
Source: RefSeq, a predicted model, not a curated record
GACCAGUGUUUCCACAUAGGUGAUUCAACAGCAGCACAAUAAUACAAUUCUGAGAAGCAUUACAGCGACAUAUAAAUGUGUCCGACACGAUUCCUUACCGGUUAACGUUGUGGCUGGUGACAUUAUCAUGUUAACAUUUUCACUGUGUUACAGUUAUUGCCGUUUCAAUGUUUCUGAGAAUAUUACAGAUUCAUUAUGUUCAUUUCUCACCGAGCUGUCCAUCUGACCUUUUUUUGUUCUCAGACAAAGGUCUUUGGUGUGCCCUUGGAGCGCUUACCAUGUUCUCAGAUGGAGUAUGGGAGUGUCCCUUGUUUUCUGGUGGAUGCAUGCAUGAAGUUGCUGGAGCAUGUCGACACAGAGGGCCUGUUCAGAAUAUCUGGCUCUCUUGCUCGCCUGAAGACACUGCAG